This 1425-nucleotide ribosomal RNA is filed under the name uncultured organism. RNAcentral describes it as "16S ribosomal RNA". It matches the Rfam family "Bacterial small subunit ribosomal RNA". The record is from RNAcentral.
CUCAUGAUGAACGCUAGCUACAGGCUUAACACAUGCAAGUCGAGGGGCAGCAUGGUCUUAGCUUGCUAAGGCCGAUGGCGACCGGCGCACGGGUGAGUAACACGUAUCCAACCUGCCGUCUACUCUUGGACAGCCUUCUGAAAGGAAGAUUAAUACAAGAUGGCAUCAUGAGUCCGCAUGUUCACAUGAUUAAAGGUAUUCCGGUAGACGAUGGGGAUGCGUUCCAUUAGAUAGUAGGCGGGGUAACGGCCCACCUAGUCUUCGAUGGAUAGGGGUUCUGAGAGGAAGGUCCCCCACAUUGGAACUGAGACACGGUCCAAACUCCUACGGGAGGCAGCAGUGAGGAAUAUUGGUCAAUGGGCGAGAGCCUGAACCAGCCAAGUAGCGUGAAGGAUGACUGCCCUAUGGGUUGUAAACUUCUUUUAUAAAGGAAUAAAGUCGGGUAUGGAUACCCGUUUGCAUGUACUUUAUGAAUAAGGAUCGGCUAACUCCGUGCCAGCAGCCGCGGUAAUACGGAGGAUCCGAGCGUUAUCCGGAUUUAUUGGGUUUAAAGGGAGCGUAGAUGGAUGUUUAAGUCAGUUGUGAAAGUUUGCGGCUCAACCGUAAAAUUGCAGUUGAUACUGGAUAUCUUGAGUGCAGUUGAGGCAGGCGGAAUUCGUGGUGUAGCGGUGAAAUGCUUAGAUAUCACGAAGAACUCCGAUUGCGAAGGCAGCCUGCUAAGCUGCAACUGACAUUGAGGCUCGAAAGUGUGGGUAUCAAACAGGAUUAGAUACCCUGGUAGUCCACACGGUAAACGAUGAAUACUCGCUGUUUGCGAUAUACUGCAAGCGGCCAAGCGAAAGCGUUAAGUAUUCCACCUGGGGAGUACGCCGGCAACGGUGAAACUCAAAGGAAUUGACGGGGGCCCGCACAAGCGGAGGAACAUGUGGUUUAAUUCGAUGAUACGCGAGGAACCUUACCCGGGCUUAAAUUGCAGAUGAAUUACGGUGAAAGCCGUAAGCCGCAAGGCAUCUGUGAAGGUGCUGCAUGGUUGUCGUCAGCUCGUGCCGUGAGGUGUCGGCUUAAGUGCCAUAACGAGCGCAACCCUUGUUGUCAGUUACUAACAGGUUCCGCUGAGGACUCUGACAAGACUGCCAUCGUAAGAUGUGAGGAAGGUGGGGAUGACGUCAAAUCAGCACGGCCCUUACGUCCGGGGCUACACACGUGUUACAAUGGGGGGUACAGAGGGCCGCUACCACGCGAGUGGAUGCCAAUCCCCAAAACCUCUCUCAGUUCGGACUGGAGUCUGCAACCCGACUCCACGAAGCUGGAUUCGCUAGUAAUCGCGCAUCAGCCACGGCGCGGUGAAUACGUUCCCGGGCCUUGUACACACCGCCCGUCAAGCCAUGGGAGCCGGGGGUACCUGAAGUGCGUAACCGCGAGGAG